CCUACGGGAGGCAGCAGUGAGGAAUAUUGGUCAAUGGCCGGAAGGCUGAACCAGCCAUGCCGCGUGAAGGUCAGUGCCCUAUGGGCGUUAAACUUCUUUUGUGCGGGAGCAAUAAUGGUCACGUGUGGCCAGACGAGAGUACCGUACGAAUAAGCAUCGGCUAACUCCGUGCCAGCAGCCGCGGUAAUACGGGGGAUGCAAGCGUUAUCCGGAUUUACUGGGUGUAAAGGGAGCGUAGGCGGUUUAGCAAGUCAGAAGUGAAAGCCCGGGGCUCAACUCCGGGACUGCCUUUGAAACUGGCAAACUGGAGUGUGUGAGAGGAUAGUGGAAUUCCAGGUGUAGGAGUGAAAUCCGUAGAUAUCUGGAGGAACAUCAGUGGCGAAGGCGACUAUCUGGCACAUAACUGACGCUGAGGAGCGAAAGCGUGGGUAGCAAACAGGAUUAGAUACCCUAGUAGUC
RNAcentral lists this ribosomal RNA (459 nucleotides) under uncultured bacterium. RNAcentral's name for it is "partial 16S ribosomal RNA". It matches the Rfam family "Bacterial small subunit ribosomal RNA", at positions 338 to 795 of the family's 1533-position model. The record is from RNAcentral.